Molecule: ribosomal RNA, 2706 nt
Filed under: Salmonella enterica
Lineage: Bacteria; Pseudomonadati; Pseudomonadota; Gammaproteobacteria; Enterobacterales; Enterobacteriaceae
Also listed under: 1 other name
Description: partial 23S ribosomal RNA
Rfam family: Bacterial large subunit ribosomal RNA
Source: RNAcentral
AUAAGCGCCGGUAAGGUGAUAUGAACCGUUAUAACCGGCGAUACCCGAAUGGGGAAACCCAGUGUGAUUCGUCACACUAUCAUUAACUGAAUCCAUAGGUUAAUGAGGCGAACCGGGGGAACUGAAACAUCUAAGUACCCCGAGGAAAAGAAAUCAACCGAGAUUCCCCCAGUAGCGGCGAGCGAACGGGGAGGAGCCCAGAGCCUGAAUCAGCAUGUGUGUUAGUGGAAGCGUCUGGAAAGGCGCGCGAUACAGGGUGACAGCCCCGUACACAAAAGCGCAUGUGCUGUGAGCUCGAUGAGUAGGGCGGGACACGUGGUAUCCUGUCUGAAUAUGGGGGGACCAUCCUCCAAGGCUAAAUACUCCUGACUGACCGAUAGUGAACCAGUACCGUGAGGGAAAGGCGAAAAGAACCCCGGCGAGGGGAGUGAAAAAGAACCUGAAACCGUGUACGUACAAGCAGUGGGAGCACCCUUUGGGUGUGACUGCGUACCUUUUGUAUAAUGGGUCAGCGACUUAUAUUCUGUAGCAAGGUUAACCGAAUAGGGGAGCCGGAGGGAAACCGAGUCUUAACCGGGCGUUAAGUUGCAGGGUAUAGACCCGAAACCCGGUGAUCUAGCCAUGGGCAGGUUGAAGGUUGGGUAACACUAACUGGAGGACCGAACCGACUAAUGUUGAAAAAUUAGCGGAUGACCUGUGGCUGGGGGUGAAAGGCCAAUCAAACCGGGAGAUAGCUGGUUCUCCCCGAAAGCUAUUUAGGUAGCGCCUCGUGAAUUCAUCUCCGGGGGUAGAGCACUGUUUCGGCUAGGGGGCCAUCCCGGCUUACCAACCCGAUGCAAACUGCGAAUACCGGAGAAUGUUAUCACGGGAGACACACGGCGGGUGCUAACGUCCGUCGUGAAGAGGGAAACAACCCAGACCGCCAGCUAAGGUCCCAAAGUCAUGGUUAAGUGGGAAACGAUGUGGGAAGGCCCAGACAGCCAGGAUGUUGGCUUAGAAGCAGCCAUCAUUUAAAGAAAGCGUAAUAGCUCACUGGUCGAGUCGGCCUGCGCGGAAGAUGUAACGGGGCUAAACCAUGCACCGAAGCUGCGGCAGCGACACUGUGUGUUGUUGGGUAGGGGAGCGUUCUGUAAGCCUGUGAAGGUGUGUCGUGAGGCAUGCUGGAGGUAUCAGAAGUGCGAAUGCUGACAUAAGUAACGAUAAAGCGGGUGAAAAGCCCGCUCGCCGGAAGACCAAGGGUUCCUGUCCAACGUUAAUCGGGGCAGGGUGAGUCGACCCCUAAGGCGAGGCCGAAAGGCGUAGUCGAUGGGAAACGGGUUAAUAUUCCCGUACUUGGUGUUACUGCGAAGGGGGGACGGAGAAGGCUAUGUUGGCCGGGCGACGGUUGUCCCGGUUUAAGCGUGUAGGUGUGUGUUCCAGGUAAAUCCGGUUCACUUUAACACUGAGGCGUGACGACGAGGCACUACGGUGCUGAAGCAACAAAUGCCCUGCUUCCAGGAAAAGCCUCUAAGCAUCAGGUAACAUCAAAUCGUACCCCAAACCGACACAGGUGGUCAGGUAGAGAAUACCAAGGCGCUUGAGAGAACUCGGGUGAAGGAACUAGGCAAAAUGGUGCCGUAACUUCGGGAGAAGGCACGCUGACACGUAGGUGAAGUGAUUUACUCAUGGAGCUGAAGUCAGUCGAAGAUACCAGCUGGCUGCAACUGUUUAUUAAAAACACAGCACUGUGCAAACACGAAAGUGGACGUAUACGGUGUGACGCCUGCCCGGUGCCGGAAGGUUAAUUGAUGGGGUCAGCGCAAGCGAAGCUCCUGAUCGAAGCCCCGGUAAACGGCGGCCGUAACUAUAACGGUCCUAAGGUAGCGAAAUUCCUUGUCGGGUAAGUUCCGACCUGCACGAAUGGCGUAAUGAUGGCCAGGCUGUCUCCACCCGAGACUCAGUGAAAUUGAACUCGCUGUGAAGAUGCAGUGUACCCGCGGCAAGACGGAAAGACCCCGUGAACCUUUACUAUAGCUUGACACUGAACAUUGAGCCUUGAUGUGUAGGAUAGGUGGGAGGCUUUGAAGUGUGGACGCCAGUCUGCAUGGAGCCGACCUUGAAAUACCACCCUUUAAUGUUUGAUGUUCUAACGUGGACCCGUUACCCGGGUUGCGGACAGUGUCUGGUGGGUAGUUUGACUGGGGCGGUCUCCUCCUAAAGAGUAACGGAGGAGCACGAAGGUUGGCUAAUCCUGGUCGGACAUCAGGAGGUUAGUGCAAUGGCAUAAGCCAGCUUGACUGCGAGCGUGACGGCGCGAGCAGGUGCGAAAGCAGGUCAUAGUGAUCCGGUGGUUCUGAAUGGAAGGGCCAUCGCUCAACGGAUAAAAGGUACUCCGGGGAUAACAGGCUGAUACCGCCCAAGAGUUCAUAUCGACGGCGGUGUUUGGCACCUCGAUGUCGGCUCAUCACAUCCUGGGGCUGAAGUAGGUCCCAAGGGUAUGGCUGUUCGCCAUUUAAAGUGGUACGCGAGCUGGGUUUAGAACGUCGUGAGACAGUUCGGUCCCUAUCUGCCGUGGGCGCUGGAGAACUGAGGGGGGCUGCUCCUAGUACGAGAGGACCGGAGUGGACGCAUCACUGGUGUUCGGGUUGUCAUGCCAAUGGCACUGCCCGGUAGCUAAAUGCGGAAGAGAUAAGUGCUGAAAGCAUCUAAGCACGAAACUUGCCCCGA